Molecule: non-coding RNA, 28 nt
Filed under: Bombyx mori (domestic silkworm)
Lineage: Eukaryota; Metazoa; Arthropoda; Insecta; Lepidoptera; Bombycidae
Source: RNAcentral
UCCAAUUCGGGCCAAACAUAAUCGAUAA